This 440-nucleotide ribosomal RNA is filed under the name uncultured bacterium. RNAcentral's name for it is "partial 16S ribosomal RNA". It matches the Rfam family "Bacterial small subunit ribosomal RNA", at positions 338 to 795 of the family's 1533-position model. The record is from RNAcentral.
CCUACGGGGGGCAGCAGUGGGGAAUAUUGCACAAUGGGGGAAACCCUGAUGCAGCGACGCCGCGUGAGUGAAGAAGUAUUUCGGUACGUAAAGCUCUAUCAGCAGGGAAGAAAAUGCCGGUACCUGACUAAGAAGCCCCGGCCUACUACGAGCCAGCAGCCGGGGGAAUACGUAGGGGGCAAGCGUAAUCCGGAAUUACUGGGAGUAAAGGGAGCGUAUACGGCGGCGCAAGUCUGGAGUGAAAUCCCAUGGCUUAACCAUGGAACUGCUUUGGAAACUGGGCGGCUGGAGUGCAGGAGAGGUAAGCGGAAUGCGUAGUGUAGCGGUGAAAUGCGUAGAUAUUAGGAGGAACACCAGUGGCGAAGGCGGCUUACUGGACUGUAUCUGACGUUGAGGCUCGAAAGCGUGGGGAGCAAACAGGAUUAGAUACCCGGGUAGUC